This 253-nucleotide ribosomal RNA is filed under the name uncultured bacterium. RNAcentral describes it as "partial 16S ribosomal RNA". It matches the Rfam family "Bacterial small subunit ribosomal RNA", at positions 524 to 776 of the family's 1533-position model. The record is from RNAcentral.
UACAGAGGUAUCAAGCGUUGUUCGGAUUCAUUGGGCGUAAAGGGCGCGUAGGCGGCGGGGUAAGUCGGGUGUGAAAUCUCAGAGCUCAACUCUGAAACUGCACUCGAUACUGCUCUGCUUGAGGACUGGAGAGGAGACUGGAAUUCACGGUGUAGCAGUGAAAUGCGCAGAUAUCAGGAGGAACACCGGUGGCGAAGGCGGUGGUCUGGGCCGGCACUGACGCUGAGGAGCGAAAGCGUGGGUAGCAAACAGG